Molecule: ribosomal RNA, 538 nt
Filed under: uncultured crenarchaeote
Lineage: Archaea; Thermoproteati; Thermoproteota
Description: bacterial SSU rRNA
Rfam family: Archaeal small subunit ribosomal RNA
Source: RNAcentral
UCGCGAAAACUUUGCAAUACACGAAAGUGUGACAGGGCUAUCCCGAGUGCCAUCCGCUGAGGAAGGCUUUUACCCAGUAUAGCAAGCUGGGAGAAUAAGGAGAGGGCAAGACUGGUGUCAGCCGCCGCGGUAAUACCAGCUCUCCGAGUGGUGUGGAUGUUUAUUGGGCCUAAAGCAUCCGUAGCUGGCUGGGCAAGUCCCCUGUUAAAUCCACCGAUUUAAUCGUUGGUGUGCGGGGGAUACUGCUCAGCUAGGGGACGGGAGAGGCAGACGGUAUUUCCGGGGUAGGGGUGAAAUCCUAUAAUCCCGGGAGGACCACCAGUGGCGAAGGCUGUCUGCUAGAACGCGCCCGACGGUGAGGGAUGAAAGCUGGGGGAGCGAACCGGAUUAGAUACCCGGGUAGUCCCAGCUGUAAACGAUGCAGGCUAGGUGUUUGGACGGCCACGUGCCGUUCUAGUGCCGCAGGGAAGCCGUUAAGCCUGCCGCCUGGGGGAGUACGGCCGCAAGGCUAGAAACUUAAAGGAAUUGGCGGGGGACG